GUAAAGUCUUGAGGUGCACAGGGCCUAGAGCUGGCUCUUUCUGAGAAGGUCCACGCUGCGUCAUGCAGAAGCUUAGAUUGAAAAGCAUCCUUUCUCACCUCACUGUCAGAAAUGACCCAGAUUGGUUCUGAAACCUGCUGCAAGGAACUGAAAACCAGCAGUUUUGCAAGAGUGAUUGAUCCUGGGCUGAAUACAAGCCUCUUGCUUCUCGGUGAGACACACGGCGAGCCAAAUCAUCGCGUCCAGGAGGAUGCUCUUGAAGGAGAUCAAAGCCAAGGCCAGAAGCAGUUGUGUGCUUUGGGACCAUCAGAGGCUUUUAUGCGCAGAUCCAUUCUCAAUGUCACGUCAGAUUACAGCUGAAAUGCAUUCUGAAUGCUGCCAGCAUAGGUUGGGAGCGCAUCAAUAACCAAUCCAGACAACAAAGCUGCAAGGUGAAUCUCGCUCUCACCACCCCAUCCCCCCUCCACUCCCCAACCCUU
Molecule: long non-coding RNA, 479 nt
Organism: Hypanus sabinus (Atlantic stingray)
Lineage: Eukaryota; Metazoa; Chordata; Chondrichthyes; Myliobatiformes; Dasyatidae
Exons: 3
Source: RefSeq, a predicted model, not a curated record